This is an RNA transcript of Cephus cinctus (wheat stem sawfly), 2578 nucleotides long. It is a transcript of the gene named transcription initiation protein SPT3 homolog, with no coding region annotated. The transcript is spliced from 7 exons. The record is from RefSeq and is a predicted model, not a curated record. Lineage: Eukaryota; Metazoa; Arthropoda; Insecta; Hymenoptera; Cephidae.
UUUUAUAUUGUACAGAAUACUUACGUCGUGAAAAAAUAAAUUUAUCAUUGUCAAGGGAACAUUUAUAGUUAUAUUUUUAAUAAAAACAAGGGUACUUUCUUCAUUGUUGUACUAGACGUCUUCACGUCAAAAACGUGCGAUUUACAGUGAAUUAUCUGACGUUUUGAUCAAACUUGAAAGUUUGUAAUUUGCAUUGUAUGGAUGUAAGAAUUGUGAGGCUUCAUUUUGUAGUUGACAUUGCAAUACUAUUUUAAACAUUAAGAUAAUAUGAGUGAUUUAUAUCCGAAACCAGCUACAGCAUCCUGUGAUUCCAAAAAUGAACAGAUUUAUUACACUUCUGAGAUACGACAGAUGAUGCAUGGUUUUGGUGACUGUUCCGAGCCAUUAAUAGAAUCAGCAAAGAUUAUUGAGGAUGUAGUUUUGCAGCAAAUGAGAACAAUAGUUAAUAAAGCUUACGAAGGUGCUGAUAGAAGAGGUAGUCACACAGUAACUGCAGAAGAUUUUAUAUUUCUCUUGAGGAAAGACAAAGUCAAGUUACAACGUCUUAUAAAAUAUCUUGAACUCAAAGAUUUUAAAGCAACAAUGAAAAAGACAAUUGAUACAGAUCCAAUUGAAAGUGCACUAGAAAGUGACAAUUUUGAUAAGUAUAAAGUUGCUAAGAAAUCGUAUCACAACUUUGUCAGUCUCAUUGAUGUCAAUGGUGAAUUACUCAAAAGUGGUUCAACAGUUGAUUACGUGAAGCAAAACAGAUCUCUUCGUGCAGAAAUGAUGACACGUAAAAUGGACGAAACACGAUAUAUUGAAUUCAGUAAAGCAAGACGAGUAUCAUUUGCCAAUAGCAACCGUCACAAGUUCAGUGAUUGGGUUUGUUCCGAUGGUGACAUAAAUAUAUCCAAGCAAGGAUAUGUAGUACUAGGAUACCUGGCAUAUGAAACAGUCGCCCAAAUAGUUGACCUUGCUUUCAUAGUACGACAGGAUCAAAACAAAAUUCAUGGUGAUGCCAUAGACAGACUCAGAUUGAGUUACUUCAAUCCAUAUACGUAUAAACCCUAUCAACAUAAUAAGGGUGUUAUUACAAAAGCCAUAACGCCUGCAGAAAUAAAUGAAGCUCUCAGAAGGUACUGGUCACCACAACUGGAUAUCUCAGGACCAUUUCAUCGCUCUUCUAUGCGCCGCCAGCAUCCAAAACUCCUUAGCUGCUAAGGAACUAAUCAAAAAGGUGAUGAAAAUUCUGCGUAAAGGCUAAUCACCCCUCAAGAUAUGAGGAACUUGACUCAAGGUGGGGGACAUCAGGUUGAGCCAGGACGACUAGAGUCUAAAUCUGUCUCUGAAUCAGUAUAUAGCGUAACGUUGGGCCGAAGCAUACAUAUAGGAACAAUAAGAGAUAGAUACAUCGGAGUGGGAUUUUCCGUAUGGUUGGGAAAGUUGCCAAUAUAGUUUUAGCUUAAAUUGGAAUGAUGCUUACCCAGGAAUAUACUUUCAUUUUAUAAUUCUUGUAAUUACUAAUAUGAAACAGAGACUUACCAAUCAAUAUAGACUAUUAUAAUAAAACAUAAUACACAAUACAUAUUGCAGUUACAUAUAGUAAGGAUGAAAAUGGGACCCUUAAUUUGAUGUACUUGGCCAAUCAUUAGCUUAAUUUAAGUUAAAUUUUUAUAAGAUAAACAAAAUUUUUUAAUUAUCGUUGUAGCAUCCAUAAAGUAUGUUAAAACCCAAAUCAAAGUAGAGUUACGGGUAAGAAAUUAAGUUGCUUCCAAAAUCAUUUUAUAUAACAUCACAUCUUCUAAAUAUCGCCAUCUGUAGGAUUUAUGUUUCACUGACUUAUACGUUUUCAUGUAAACUGACAUUUUAGGUUUCUCCAUUGUAAAUUAGGCUUAAAGUCCAAGUGCGCGUCUGCUCCGUGAUAUUAGUCAAGUAAACGGACGCGGCCUUAAAAGAAGUUCGUGGAGUCACCGGUAGGGUCGUGCGGGUAACACGGCGUCGCCGGGAAUUGACCUUGGUGGUGGCUAGGUAGACGGAAGGCGCUGAGGCGCUUUGGAAAAGGCAGGGAAGCAGCCCGCGUUCGCAUGCCUCGUUCGCCGCCCAUUGUUAUCCUUGUCGCGUGUAAUGGCUACCGCGGAGUUUGUUGACGGUGCUCGGUAUAUCCGUUUGUGCGCCGAUCGGCCGUGAAAGGGCCCUGUAGACGUGGUCAGUCUCAGGGGGAAGGUCUUGUGACUAUCUGGUGCAACAUAAAGUCGAUUUUAUGCCAGCGAGAGGCUCGGGAGCCGUUCGCGAGUCGCCGCUUGGGCGACAUUCGCCGUAUGAGCCAACGCUCUUCUUUGACAAGCAAGCAAUAGGGACGUGCAAGGUAUCGACUACCUGGUUGCGGUAGCCAUCCCUUUUCGUUCGAAAAGCAGCCUCAUCGUGACGCGGAUGUGAUAACGUGCUUUAUUUAAUCCCUGAUAGAAGUAUCAACUCGUUGGAUUUUGGCAUCGAUUUUUUUUUAUAUUCACCCAAUCCCAAAAGACCCUGUGAUUUCGUAUGCCGAUUUGCCAACACCGUCUUCGACUUCGAUUCACCUGUGACGACCCACUCAAAG